GCCUGGGUGGCUCAGCAGUUGAGCAUCUGUCUUUGGCUCAGGGCGUGAUCCCAGAGUCUGGGAUCAAGUCCCACACCAGGCU
This 82-nucleotide transfer RNA is filed under the name Canis lupus familiaris (dog). It matches the Rfam family "tRNA". Rfam says of the family: Transfer RNA (tRNA) molecules are approximately 80 nucleotides in length. The record is from Rfam by way of RNAcentral. RNAcentral also lists the same sequence under 2 other names. Lineage: Eukaryota; Metazoa; Chordata; Mammalia; Carnivora; Canidae.